This 89-nucleotide transfer RNA is filed under the name Clostridium sp. AM34-9AC. RNAcentral describes it as "tRNA-Leu". It matches the Rfam family "tRNA". Rfam says of the family: Transfer RNA (tRNA) molecules are approximately 80 nucleotides in length. Their secondary structure includes four short double-helical elements and three loops (D, anti-codon, and T loops). Further hydrogen bonds mediate the characteristic L-shaped molecular structure. tRNAs have two regions of fundamental functional importance: the anti-codon, which is responsible for specific mRNA codon recognition, and the 3' end, to which the tRNAs corresponding amino acid is attached (by aminoacyl-tRNA synthetases). tRNAs cope with the degeneracy of the genetic code in two manners: having more than one tRNA (with a specific anti-codon) for a particular amino acid; and 'wobble' base-pairing, i.e. permitting non-standard base-pairing at the 3rd anti-codon position. Lineage: Bacteria; Bacillati; Bacillota; Clostridia; Eubacteriales; Clostridiaceae. The record is from RNAcentral.
GCAGAAAUGGCGGAAUUGGCAGACGCGCACCCGGUUCAGGUCCGUGUGGUAGUGAUACCAUGAGGGUUCAAGUCCCUCUUUCUGCAUCA